GUGAACGCUGGCGGCGUGCCUAACACAUGCAAGUCGAACGAUGAUGGAGAGCUUGCUUUCUUGAUUAGUGGCGCACGGGUGAGUAAUGCAUAGAUAAUGUGCCCCUUAGUUCGGGAUAGCCACUGGAAACGGUGAUUAAUACCGGAUACUCCUUCUUACUAUAAGGUAAGUCGGGAAAGUUUUUCGCUAAGGGAUCAGACUAUAUCCUAUCAGUUAGUUGGUGAGGUAAUGGCUCACCAAGGCAAUGACGGGUAGCGGUUCUGAGAGGAUGAUCCGCCACACUGGUACUGAGACACGGACCAGACUCCUACGGGAGGCAGCAGUGAGGAAUAUUGCACAAUGGGGGGAACCCUGAUGCAGCAACGCCGCGUGGAGGAUGACGCAUUUCGGUGUGUAAACUCCUUUUAUAUGUCAAGAAAAUGACGGUAGCAUAUGAAUAAGCACCGGCUAACUCCGU
RNAcentral lists this ribosomal RNA (457 nucleotides) under uncultured bacterium. RNAcentral describes it as "partial 16S ribosomal RNA". It matches the Rfam family "Bacterial small subunit ribosomal RNA", at positions 29 to 506 of the family's 1533-position model. The record is from RNAcentral.